UUACCAAGGCUUGACAUCGCCGGAAAUCCCGCAGAGAUGCGGGGUCCUUUUUGGGCCGGUGACAGGUGGUGCAUGGCNGUCGUCAGCUCGUGUCGUGAGAUGUUGGGUUAAGUCCCGCAACGAGCGCAACCCUCGUUCCAUGUUGCCAGCACGUGAUGGUGGGGACUCAUGGGAGACCGCCGGGGUCAACUCGGAGGAAGGUGGGGAUGACGUCAAGUCAUCAUGCCCCUUAUGUCUUGGGCUGCAAACAUGCUACAAUGGCCGGUACAGUGGGCUGCGAUACCGUGAGGUGGAGCGAAUCCCUUAAAGCCGGUCUCAGUUCGGAUCGAAGUCUGCAACU
RNAcentral lists this ribosomal RNA (340 nucleotides) under uncultured bacterium. Its description in RNAcentral is "bacterial SSU rRNA". It matches the Rfam family "Bacterial small subunit ribosomal RNA", at positions 971 to 1312 of the family's 1533-position model. The record is from RNAcentral.